Molecule: ribosomal RNA, 400 nt
Filed under: uncultured fungus
Lineage: Eukaryota; Fungi
Description: eukaryotic LSU rRNA
Rfam family: 5.8S ribosomal RNA (bases 1-104)
Source: RNAcentral
AAAUGCGAUAAGUAAUGUGAAUUGCAGAAUUCAGUGAAUCAUCGAAUCUUUGAACGCAUCUUGCGCUCCUUGGUAUUCCGAGGAGCAUGCCUGUUUGAGUGUCAUUCAAAUUCUCAAACCAUGUUGAUUGUUCUUUCAACAUGGCUUUGGAUGGGUGGGGGUUUGCAGGCCCUUCUUUUUGAGGUCAGCUCCCCUGAAAUGCAUUAGUAGUAUCUGAGCAGAGAAACUACCACAGGUGUGAUAAAUUUAUCUAUGCCUUGGUGAGCUGCAUUGUAACAGAUCAUGCUGCUUAUAACGAGUGUGGUGGUUUGAAACCACCCACAUUUGAUGAAUUUGACCUCAAAUCAGGUAGGACUACCCGCUGAACUUAAGCAUAUCAAUAAGCGGAGGAAAAGAAACU